RNAcentral lists this ribosomal RNA (406 nucleotides) under uncultured bacterium. RNAcentral's name for it is "partial 16S ribosomal RNA". It matches the Rfam family "Bacterial small subunit ribosomal RNA", at positions 30 to 526 of the family's 1533-position model. The record is from RNAcentral.
AUUGAACGCUGGCGGCAGGCCUAACACAUGCAAGUCGAACGAGUGGCGGACGGGUGAGUAAUGUCUGGGAAACUGCAUGAUGGAGGGGGAUAACUACUGGAAACGGUAGCUAAUACCGCAUACCAUCAGAUGUGCCCAGAUUGGAUUAGCUUCUUGGUGGGGUAACGGCUCACCAAGGCGACGAACCCUAGCUGGUCUGAGAGGAUGACCAGCCACAAUGGAACUGAGACACGGUCCAGACUCCUACGGGAGGCAGCAGUUGUGAAUAUUGCACAAUGGGCGCAAGCGUGAUGCAGCCAUGCCGCGUGUAUGAAGAAGUCCGUAGGGUUUUAAAGUACCUUCAGCUGGUAGGCGUUACCCGCAGAAGAAGCUCCGGCUAACUCCGUGCCAGCAGCCGCGGUAAUAC